AAUAGGAUUUGGGUGUUUAUUAAACAUUUAUAUAUUUGGAUUAUAUUACAUUAUACCAUGACAUUGUUGAAUACUGCUUUCUGAUUGGCUUUUCCCGAUUUGGCUUUCUGAUUGGCUUGAAGGGCAUUCAUUCAUUAUUUCCCUAUAACGCACUAUAACGCACUGAAUAUUUGCACGGUUAAUUCUUAUGAGUUGUAUUUGCGUUUCGUAGUAAGCACAUUAAACCCAGUAAAACACACCAAAAAAAUUUUUUGCUCAAACUGGUGACCUAAAUUCUCAUGACUGACUGUGUGAAAUGGCACUCGACUACCCACCGUGCUCUACUACCCUGUCCCAUAUCAGAUGAGGCACAAGUGCUAUUAAUACAUUUACACUGGAUGUGCCAGUGAAAUUCUCUGCAUACAUUUUGUUGUUGUUGUUGUUCUACACAACGUUAAUUAUGGUUGAAAUAUUUUGUAUUUUAUAUUUCCUGGUUAAUUUUCUCCUAAUUCCAGGAAUCUUAAGGGAAACCUGGGAAUUUGGUGAAUGUAAACAUCGUUAUGGGCUUAGCACCAAAAGACACAUUUUCUCUCAAAGGUAUUUUUGUCUUGGCUGACGUGAUGGAAACUUCUCAGGUGUUAAAUGCUAAGAUCUAGUUGAUGUAGUGUCUAGUGUGUGUGUGUGUGUGUGUGUGUGUGUGUGUGUGUGUGUGUGUGUGUGUGUGUGUGUGUGUGUGUGUGUGUUAAGAUAAUCAACGCUGAGAGGAGUUCUCCAUUUGAAAGGGUAUCCUACUCUUUCAUCAGACCAAACGGUCGGACUUGAUGGUAUUAACAUCAGCAAAGGUGGAAUUGUGGGGAUCCAACGGGGAAUCCACAGAAUUCCCUGUGAGAUGCAAAAACAACCAAUGUCUCAAGAAAACUUAUUUCCAGGAUUAUCAGCUUCGAUAACCGAGACACCAGACCAGCUCGGCGGCAGAGAAACAAGCUAGCUGCAAUCAGAUCAGUGUGGAACAAGUGGGUGGACCGCCUUCCCCUGUUUUACAACCCUGGUCCCAACGUUACUGUUGAUGAGCAGCUGAUGCUAUUUAGGGGCCCCUGCCCCUUCAGGCAGUACAUACCGUCUAAACCCACAAAAUAUGGAAUCAAGAUCUGGGCUGUCUGUGAUGCUGCUUCAUCAUAUGCGUGGAACUUACAAGUGUUUACGGGGAAGCCAGAUGAAGGAACCCCUGAGAUGAACCAAGGGAUGCGGGUUGUCCUGG
RNAcentral lists this long non-coding RNA (1237 nucleotides) under Salmo salar (Atlantic salmon). Its description in RNAcentral is "lncRNA (ENSSSAG00000113000.1)". Lineage: Eukaryota; Metazoa; Chordata; Actinopteri; Salmoniformes; Salmonidae. The record is from RNAcentral.